UCUAAGGCAUGAAAGAUUCUUUUUUCUAGUUUAGUUUGUGCUUUGAUAUAUAUAUCCAGUGAUUUAAAUUUGUUCUUUCUUUUAACUGGCCAGAGCCAACUGAAGAAGCCAUCCACUUAUCUAUACAGAAGUAUUCAUGUCUUUUGUUCCAUGACAGGAAAAGAUUGGUCUCCCGUAGGCUUGCCUUCAAAAAGCACUACAUUUUAAGUGAUCCCACAGCUAUAUAGCUAGCACGCACUCCAAAAGAUGAAGUUAACUAAUGCUUUGACUAAUCAGAAGAAUGGGAAACUUCUAUUGAUAAGUAAAAACUUUAAAAAUACUGCUCUGCAUAUUGAGAAGCAUGGGAGAAAUGGAUGGGGAAGGAAAAAGAAGACAGGAAGAAAGCAAAAAGAAAAUAUACAUCAUGGGAAAGACAACACCAAAAGUGGCAGACACCAGCAGACAAAGCGCUGAGACUUGGAUGGUAAGACAGAUAAGGAAAAUGUCACCUGUGACUAAGAAGUAACAGUUUUUAGGGGGAUGGGAGGAUGGUGGUGAAACUCCAGCCCUAGACUGCUACUCAGGGUAAGUCAUGGAGAGAGAGUGGGAAUCACUUACAGUGGUAUGAAAUUCAUUUGUGAAGGUUACCUCAGUGUUGUUCCAUCUGGUGAACUAUUGGUUAAAAAGU
This is a long non-coding RNA of Canis lupus familiaris (dog), 667 nucleotides long. RefSeq lists it as uncharacterized. The transcript is spliced from 3 exons. The record is from RefSeq and is a predicted model, not a curated record. NCBI's taxonomy places the organism in Eukaryota, Metazoa, Chordata, Mammalia, Carnivora, Canidae.